UUGUGUCAAGCUUCUUGAGUGUUGCUGGAGCUGCAUCCAGGAACGUGUUGCAUCACACGGCUGACUUGUGCCUUGUCAAUUGUGGAGAGACAGUGGGGAGUUAAGAGUUAUCGCUAGGAAUCUCAGAACUUCUUGGAAUCAACUGCACCGACUUCGACAAAAUGAUAACCAGGAUAUAUGAAACAGAAUUUGCUGGAAAGGAAGACAUUGUGGCAAGGAUGCCCUGAGGCAUGGUACAUUGGUGAAACCGAG
This is a non-coding RNA of Chiloscyllium plagiosum (whitespotted bambooshark), 252 nucleotides long. The record is from RefSeq and is a predicted model, not a curated record. Lineage: Eukaryota; Metazoa; Chordata; Chondrichthyes; Orectolobiformes; Hemiscylliidae.